GACGAACCGUGCAAACGUUAUUCGGAUUCAUUGGGCUUAAAGGGCGCGUAGGCGGACAGGCAAGUCAGGGGUGAAAUCCCACGGCUCAACCGUGGAAGUGCCUUUGAUACUGCCGGUCUCGAGGGAGGUAGGGGCGUGCGGAACUUCCGGUGGAGCGGUGAAAUGCGUAGAUAUCGGAAGGAACACCGGUGGCGAAAGCGGCGCGCUGGACCUCUUCUGACGCUGAGGCGCGAAAGCCAGGGGAGCAAACGGG
Molecule: ribosomal RNA, 253 nt
Filed under: uncultured bacterium
Lineage: Bacteria
Description: partial 16S ribosomal RNA
Rfam family: Bacterial small subunit ribosomal RNA
Source: RNAcentral